AGACCAUUGAUGAUGUAGACAGUCCCGAAGAAGAGCCUUGAAUCGCUCCCAAGCAUGAUAAAAAUUCUCUUCUAGUUUUUGUUUAAAGCACACUAUCUCACUGCGAAGUCU
Capsicum annuum is the source of this 111-nucleotide non-coding RNA. Lineage: Eukaryota; Viridiplantae; Streptophyta; Magnoliopsida; Solanales; Solanaceae. The record is from Rfam.